This 484-nucleotide ribosomal RNA is filed under the name uncultured bacterium. RNAcentral's name for it is "partial 16S ribosomal RNA". It matches the Rfam family "Bacterial small subunit ribosomal RNA", at positions 30 to 507 of the family's 1533-position model. The record is from RNAcentral.
AUUGAACGCUGGCGGCAGGCCUAACACAUGCAAGUCGAGCGGAUGAAGGGAGCUUGCUCCUGGAUUCAGCGGCGGACGGGUGAGUAAUGCCUAGGAAUCUGCCUGGUAGUGGGGGAUAACGUCCGGAAACGGGCGCUAAUACCGCAUACGUCCUGAGGGAGAAAGUGGGGGAUCUUCGGACCUCACGCUAUCAGAUGAGCCUAGGUCGGAUUAGCUAGUUGGUGGGGUAAAGGCCUACCAAGGCGACGAUCCGUAACUGGUCUGAGAGGAUGAUCAGUCACACUGGAACUGAGACACGGUCCAGACUCCUACGGGAGGCAGCAGUGGGGAAUAUUGGACAAUGGGCGAAAGCCUGAUCCAGCCAUGCUGCGUGUGUGAAGAAGGUCUUCGGAUUGUAAAGCACUUUAAGUUGGGAGGAAGGGCAGUAAGUUAAUACCUUGCUGUUUUGACGUUACCAAAAGAAUAAGCACCGGCUAACUUCGUG